This 333-nucleotide ribosomal RNA is filed under the name Triticum aestivum (bread wheat). Its description in RNAcentral is "partial small subunit ribosomal RNA". Lineage: Eukaryota; Viridiplantae; Streptophyta; Magnoliopsida; Poales; Poaceae. The record is from RNAcentral.
AUGCUGGUGUUGUGUAAAGAUUUAUGCCCUCAUGAUGUUUACAUGUGUUUGUUGAUUGGUUUUUACAAGCAAGAGCUGCUAGGAACCUAUGGGUUGGAGGAAUUAGUCUGUCUAUCUCAAAGAAGGAGGUAUAGGAAGAGUUCCAAAAGUUUGGAAAGAUUCAAGGUGUUGCAUUCUCCCAUGAUCAAACUUCUGCAUACAUCGACUUUGAGAAGCUGGAAGUUGCCAGUUUUUAUCAUAGAGCCUUUAAUGGGGACAGAUUUAGGGGGCAAGGAAUUGUGUGUUGAUUUCUGGAGGUCCAGAGGAAGAGCGGUAUGCAUCUAUUAUUGUUGA